This 216-nucleotide ribosomal RNA is filed under the name Glomeromycotina sp. Its description in RNAcentral is "partial small subunit ribosomal RNA". The stretch from base 40 to 216 matches the Rfam family "Eukaryotic small subunit ribosomal RNA", at positions 686 to 864 of the family's 1831-position model. Lineage: Eukaryota; Fungi; Glomeromycota. The record is from RNAcentral.
GGGUCAGUAGGUUGGUCGUGCCACCGGUACGUACUGGUCUCACUGAUUCCUCCUUCCUGAAGAACCGUAAUGCCAUUAAUUUGGUGUUGCGGGGAAACAGGACUGUUACUUGGAAAAAAUUAGAGUGUAUAAAGCAAGCUAACGCUUGAAUACAUUAGCAUGGAAUAAUGAAAUAGGACGAUCGAUCCUAUUUUGUUGGUUUCUAGGAUUGACGUA